GUGGGGAAUAUUGGGCAAUGGGCGAAAGCCUGACCCAGCAACGCCGCGUGAAGGAAGAAGGUUUUCGGAUCGUAAACUUCUAUCCUUGGUGAAGAUAAUGAUGGUAGCCAAGAAGGAAGCCCCGGCUAACUACGUGCCAGCAGCCGCGGUAAUACGUAGGGGGCAAGCGUUGUCCGGAAUGAUUGGGCGUAAAGGGCGCGUAGGCGGCCCGGUAAGUCUGAAGUGAAAGUCCUGCUUUUAAGGUGGGAAUUGCUUUGGAUACUGUCGGGCUUGAGUGCAGGAGAGGUAAGCGGAAUUCCCGGUGUAGCGGUGAAAUGCGUAGAGAUCGGGAGGAACACCAGUGGCGAAGGCGGCUUACUGGACUGUAACUGACGCUGAGGCGCGAAAGUGUGGGGAGCAAACAGGAUUAGAUACCCCGUAGUCC
This 424-nucleotide ribosomal RNA is filed under the name uncultured bacterium. RNAcentral's name for it is "partial 16S ribosomal RNA". It matches the Rfam family "Bacterial small subunit ribosomal RNA", at positions 354 to 796 of the family's 1533-position model. The record is from RNAcentral.